RNAcentral lists this transfer RNA (80 nucleotides) under Zingiber officinale. RNAcentral describes it as "tRNA-Tyr". It matches the Rfam family "tRNA". Rfam says of the family: Transfer RNA (tRNA) molecules are approximately 80 nucleotides in length. Their secondary structure includes four short double-helical elements and three loops (D, anti-codon, and T loops). The record is from RNAcentral. Lineage: Eukaryota; Viridiplantae; Streptophyta; Magnoliopsida; Zingiberales; Zingiberaceae.
CCGACCUUAGCUCAGUUCUCAGUUGGUAGAGCAGAGGACUGUAGAUCCUUAGGUCUCUGGUUCGAAUCCCGCAGGUCGGA